GGGUUCUAUUGCUGUGAAGAGACACCAUGACCAAGGCAGUCCUUAUAAAGGACUUAUAAAUUGAAUCCCUUAAUUGAAUUGGGAUUGGUUUACAGUUUCAGAGGUUAAGUCCGUUAUCAUGAUGGGAUGCAUUGGCAGUGUCCAGGAAGACAUGGUGCUGGUGAAGGAGGCAAGAGUUCUACAUCUUGAUUGGCAGGCAGCAGAAAGGGACUGUGUUGUAUGUCAUAACAUGUCUGGUCAUAGCUUGAGCAUCCAAGACCUCAAAGCCUGUCCCUGCAGUGACACACCUCCUCCAACAAGGCCACACUGUCUAAUAAUGCCACUCCCUAAUAGGCCAAACAUCCAAACUCAAGAUUCUAUGGGGGCCAAACCUACUCAAACCACCACAAUCAUUAGUUAAGAAAGUGCCCAAAGCUGGAUCUCCCAAGAGGUGUUUGCUCCUCUCAAAUGACUCUAGCUUGUGUCCAGUUGACAUAAAGCUAUCAGGACAAGUUACUUAAACCUUUUCAUUUGGUCCUCACUAGAGAACUCUGGUGAGCUUGGUUGACCACGUGCCAUGCACAUUACCUUGGUUCAGGAUUUUUUACUGAUAGUCACUGGGGAUGAACAGCACGAGGAGACAACAUCAGAGAGAGCUCUGCUCUUAGGCUGCACCUCAGCCUUUCUGCCCACUUCGUUCUUGUUCUUCAGGUUUCCAUGCCUCCCCAGGCUUGAUGGAAGCGUGGCUACCUACCCUGCUGCUCCUUCGUGACUAUGAGAUUCCAACACUGAUUACUGUUUACAGGUGUUUACCUAUUUCUGUUUGUGGUCCUUUUCAGACUCACUUUCCCCUAAAUACAGAUAAACUCAUUUUGAUUCCCCUUGCCUGUCUGUCUUGGGAAGAUGUUCUUCCUUCCUGCAUGUGGCUGUUAAAAAAAAAAAAAAUUCUGGGAACAGUCCUUUGCUAAUCAGGGAUUUGGUGAGACAUUUGGGAGGAAAAAAUAGUCCUUGCUUAGUACAGCUUUAGAUAAUUUUUAGGGUUGAUCAUGAACUGCCUUGCACUUGGGCAAUUUCUGUUCUCUCACACUAAGUAGAGGACUCUUCCUUCUCUCUUCUCCAGCCAGCAGGAAUUGGAAGCCUCUUUGCAAGUCCUGGUGAACUUGGAUACACACAUCAUUGCUUGUGGCGCUAAUCCUUUCGCAUCCCUCAAACCAGAACAGGUCUAUUCCAAGCCCAACAAGCAACCGGUGUACAGCAGUGCCUACUACAUCGUGUUUCGUGGAUGUUCCUCCUGCCAACUAGAUAAGCAGCAAGUAGAAGAAGAACCAGAUGAAUUUUCAGUAGUUGAAUCAAAUCCUAACUGAAUGCCUGGAAAUUGGAAGCUUCAGCAAAUUACCCAGUAGAUGUCAGAUUUUUGCCAGCUGUUGUAUGUGAACCUUAUUCACAGUUGAAGUAAAGAUUCUAAACCAGUGGAAGUU
Molecule: long non-coding RNA, 1457 nt
Filed under: Rattus norvegicus (Norway rat)
Lineage: Eukaryota; Metazoa; Chordata; Mammalia; Rodentia; Muridae
Description: long non-coding RNA NONRATT010250
Source: RNAcentral